AGCCCGGUCGUCUAGGGGCCAAGGAUUUCGGGCUCUGGACCCGGCGACGGCGGUUCGAAUCCGCCCCGGGCUA
This 73-nucleotide transfer RNA is filed under the name Nitrososphaerota archaeon. RNAcentral describes it as "tRNA-Gln". It matches the Rfam family "tRNA". Rfam says of the family: Transfer RNA (tRNA) molecules are approximately 80 nucleotides in length. Their secondary structure includes four short double-helical elements and three loops (D, anti-codon, and T loops). Further hydrogen bonds mediate the characteristic L-shaped molecular structure. tRNAs have two regions of fundamental functional importance: the anti-codon, which is responsible for specific mRNA codon recognition, and the 3' end, to which the tRNAs corresponding amino acid is attached (by aminoacyl-tRNA synthetases). tRNAs cope with the degeneracy of the genetic code in two manners: having more than one tRNA (with a specific anti-codon) for a particular amino acid; and 'wobble' base-pairing, i.e. permitting non-standard base-pairing at the 3rd anti-codon position. The record is from RNAcentral. RNAcentral also lists the same sequence under 2 other names. Lineage: Archaea; Thermoproteati; Nitrososphaerota.